This 1609-nucleotide long non-coding RNA is filed under the name Nicotiana tabacum (common tobacco). Its description in RNAcentral is "long non-coding RNA (NTAB_LNC018340)". The record is from RNAcentral. Lineage: Eukaryota; Viridiplantae; Streptophyta; Magnoliopsida; Solanales; Solanaceae.
GCUUUCUUGCACGCGUUAUUUUUUUUUUCUUAUAGUUUUCGGGGUGGGGCAGGUUUGGUCUGGAAGUUUACCAUUGUACAAUUCUUUUGUUACCCAAUCCCAUCUUCAUAGUGAUGAUGUUUAAGGGGACGUUUUGAAAGUGAAGUUUAAGCUUUUCGCAGCAUUGCUAAAUCUGCACUUUACCAUGUGAAAUUAAAUGACAUGACCUUUGGACAGAUGUAGACCUUUUCUGAUAAGCUUCCAUGCUUUUGUUAUCUGGUGCCACAAUAAAGUCUGUGACGUACUUGCUACCUAUGUUGCUCGGACUCUCCGGAAAUGUUGCUGGGUGCGUGUCGGAUCCUCCAAAAAUAGUGUAUUUUUGGAGGAUCCGACACGGGUGCGGCAUCAUUUUGGAGAGUCCGCGCAACAUAACUUGCUACUUCUUUUGCCCCACUUUCCAACUUUUACUUUUCCAGUCCUUUGUUCUCUCAAUGUAUUGUUUUCUUGUAUGACUUGACCUUGUUGGUCCUUUAGAAAUGUGUGGAUAUAGACUACACGAUUUUGUUUCUCUACCACAAUCUGCGGUGCUCGUGUGAGCUUAUGCUCACCUUCUUGAGCUACAUACCAAGCCGAGUUCUCUUUGCCAACUGAACUGCUAUUACUGUUUUCAUUCAUGCAUCACAGCUAGACACUAAUGAUCUUUUUCAGUAGAGUCAGCCCCUAAAAUAUUCAUAUUCAUUGCAACACAAUCUAGUGCUUGAUUCUUUUCAUGUUUCUAUACGAAUAAUUUUUUGUGGAAAGCUUCUCAUCACUUUCUUGAUUUCUGGGGCCCUCUACUUCUCUUGCAGCUUGCACCGUCAGCAUUUGAUGCCACUGGAAUGAUUUUUGGCGCACAAGCACCGAGAGAAUAUGCUCAAGGAGCACAAUCCGAGUGGCUCCAUAUGCAGGUUGGUAGCAGCUUUGACAGAGGAACAUGACAGAUGCCGUAAUGAAUUUGAAUAUAGGUUAUUCAGGAAUACUAGUCUUCCACUUCAUCAUGAUGUUUGUGAGGGAACCUUGGCAUUGGAUCCUACAACUGUCCAGCAACUGUUCCACUAUAGAAGAAGCAUUCUUAAGUUUGUAAUCGUAAUCACCCUCAUUUCCAGUAGAAUUGUCUGUUUUAUCUUGUAUGAUCAAGGUCGUCUAACUCAGUGUACUUGUACUAUGUUGUAUUGGUAUAAGAAAUAGACUACGCAGACUUUCUUCCUGUACUAGGCACAGAUGCCUUCCCAUUCCGAACGCUCUGAACAUGCACAAUCUCUCAGAAUAUAUUCUUGCUCAAAGAACAUAUAACAAAAUAUAUAAGACAGCCAAAUAUGAAGGAUAGGGGAAGAACUUAUGAAAAAUGGCCUGAAAUUGGGUAUUUCUAUUUCCACAUUAGUCUGGAAGCUACUGGUUAUUUGUAAAGAUUGCGCAAUAAAACUCAUAAGGAAAAGCAGAGGUUUGGCAGGCAGCAGAAUAGGAUGCUUCUGUUGUUCGAGAGUUUCGUUUUUAGCUGUGGGCCUGGAGUAGCCAAACUACCUAGUUAGAGACCUAAAACUCGGUGGGUUUAUGCUUCACUAGGAAGCAUAAACCUAAGUCUAUUCUGAAG